Molecule: long non-coding RNA, 2804 nt
Organism: Pantherophis guttatus
Lineage: Eukaryota; Metazoa; Chordata; Lepidosauria; Squamata; Colubridae
Source: RefSeq, a predicted model, not a curated record
ACCCAGGUUUGGUUUUCAAACUGUUUCUGCAAAAUAUUUUGAAGCAGUACUGUCCUAGGCUGCUUCGGCUAGCAGAUUUUGCAACCACAGCAAAGAGAUUGUUAUUUACUGGAUAAUUAAUGCACUUUUACUUCCAGAUUGGGAUGGAAGGUUCAUAAAACGUGGCAAACCAAUUCCAUUGGGACGAGGAUGGGCUGCUCUGCCUUGGGCCAGUUUUGAUUGAUACUCUUUUCAUCUCCUGCCUGAGAGUCAACACCGCCUGGAUAGCAGCAAUUCCUAGUCUUUAAUCCUAGUCCCCAUCCAUACAGGAAAACUGCAUAUGGAAACCCCUGAGGCUGGAAAAUCUAAAACCACUAUGGGAUAUUCAAUAUUUCUAACUUUUGAUAGCUUGAAGGGAGUAUUUGGUGAAUCUGAAGGAAACAACAUUGCCUUUUGCAACUAACAUAAGGAACAAGAACCAUCUGAGAAUUUGCCACAGUUUAGAGAAGAGCCUAAUGCUGGGAACGACUGAGGGCAAAAGAAGAAGAGAAUGACAGAGAAUGAGGUGGCUGGAUGGAGUCACUGAAGCAGUCGGCGUGAGCUUAAAUGGACUCCAGGGGAUGGUAGAGGACAGGAAGGCCUGGAGUAACGUUGUCCAUGGGGUCGCGAUGAGUCAAACACGACUUUGCGACUAACAACAACAAAAAGAGAAUCUCCAAGUUUCAAAUCUUGGCAAAAAGGCUAAGAACUAAGUUGUAAAAACUAAAAUGCUGGACUUGAAAUGGUGAGAAAUACAUCUAGUUCUUGCUCAGCCAUGAAAUGCCCUGACUGGUUUGACACAUGUUUAACCCUGAAUCAGAACAACAAACACAACUGCAGUAUUCCAGUAUUCAGUAGGCUCAAACUAGAAACCCUUGUUAUGGCUUAAUAUGGUGGCCUUGUUAGAUCAACCUGCUAAAACAAGGUCUUGCUUCCCACAAGAUGCUGAACUCAAAUUUCCCAAAUUCAUUUUAGGCAACUCUAGACUACAGUGCGAAUUCAUCCCCAGUAAGGCUUUAGUUGCUAUGUUUGAGUGUAGCACAAUCCUCCACAAAAGUAAAGGGAGAUAUCAUAUGCAUGGAUUUGGGAGUUUGGAAACAGGUCAGCAUUAGAACAAAAUGCCAGUGAAGAGAGCCCUAGUCCCAAAAACUGAACUGCACAAUUUCACAAAAUAGGUAUUAGAUUGUAUCAUUUCAGAACACAGGUAGAAAGUUCUAAAAUAAAGCAUAGGAAAAAAGGUGAGGCUGUUUUUGUUUUGUUUUUGUUUGUUUUUUUCUAUAUAGGUAGAAGCUGUCCUUCCACCUAUCAAAACAGAUCCAUCUCAUAUUUUCUAACAGAGCGUAGGCACAGAAAUAUGAACAGAGAGAGGUCACCUGUUGGUGACCUUUGAGGUUACAAAUAGAGGUCCCAACAUACUUGGGUGCAAUUUCCUUCUCACUUCACCAUUCCAUUCUCUGCCUGAAAUGGCAGGUAACCUGAGAGGAGAAUGUGGUGUGCAAAUUGAUUUGGAGCCAAUCGAUGGUGUGGAGUAUGGCUCUGGCCAGCCGCUGUGUCACUGAUUGCCUGCAGAUCGAUUCUUAUGCCACUCUUGUUCAGCAUGCCUGCCGUGUCAGACAGAGAGGGGACAAAACAAGGGUGAGAAAGAGGCCAUGCGUUCUCCAGCAGCUUUCAAAGACAGCACACACACACACACACACACACACACACACACACACACCCAAAUUCCAGGAUGUGCAAAGAAACUUGAAAUCAAGUCUCUGCCAUUUUAUAGGCUCUUCCAGUAGGACCAGAAAAAGGAUGGAUUGUCUCCUUGUAUGUGGAAAUGAUUCAUUUGAGAAUACCAGGGAUUCAUUUGAUUUUUUAAAAUCAUGGUUUAGGUCAAGAAAAUAUGAAUAAAGCUACUAUUAUCUAAUACAAGGAAUCAGCAUUGGAUUAACUCAUAGAAGAUUACAGAAUAUAAUAUACAUGAUGAAUGUGAUCAAAGGAGGUUUUCCUCCAUCCAUAUCUUACCAAAGUAGACAUUCUUAGUUUUGUUGAUUGGUAGAAGUUGAUUCUGGACAAUCGAAAGUUUUUGAACAAAACACAUUAUUCAUCAAGAAAAGAUCUGGCAACCCAUCAUUCAAUUCAUGGAAGAGGCAGAUAUACAUCAAACCUGAUCGUUCCGUGACUGUCACUUCUUUACCCCAAAGAUGGUGGAGGCACCAGCUAUUAAUAAAGAUUUCAUAUGUACUAUGGCAUCACAUUCCAAUCCACCCCCCAAAAUUAAAGCAUAAUUUAUAAUCUGACAAUAUUAUAUACUUGCAUCUUGUAUACUGACCUAUAAUGAGAAGUUCUCCAGACAGUUUACAACAUGAACUAAGCCAAAUCCAUAAAACUAUAAAACAUAAUAUAUCCCAAAACUUAAAAUUUAAGGAGCAAAGAGUAAUGGUACGCUGAACAAGUUUACUAGAUUGUAAUAAAAUUUAGAGCCUAGAUAGCCUACUUGGUCAAAAUAAAGCCAAAUAUUUUAUAUUCAUUGUACUUAUUGCAUUGUAUUCAUUCGGAGUCUUUAUGAAAAGACCCAGAAAGUUUCUAAUGCUGGGAAAGGUGGAAGAAAAGAGAAUGACCAACAGCAAGGUGAAUGAACUCAGUUACAGUGGUGAUGGGUGCACCAUUGAAAGAGUAGAAGGACCAUGUGAGGGACAGAUUCUCCUGAGGAAAAAAUCUGUAUGCUUGCUAAGAGUUGACACCUACUUGACUGCAUGACCUCUGUAGAUGCCAUAUGCUAAAUAAAUAAAUAAAACUUA